AUUGAACGCUGGCGGCAUGCCUUACACAUGCAAGUCGAACGGCAGCAUGGAGAGCUUGCUCUCUGAUGGCGAGUGGCGAACGGGUGAGUAAUGCAUCGGAACGUACCGUGUAAUGGGGGAUAACGUAGCGAAAGUUACGCUAAUACCGCAUACGACCUGAGGGUGAAAGCAGGGGAUCGCAAGACCUUGCGUUAUACGAGCGGCCGAUGUCAGAUUAGCUAGUUGGUGAGGUAAAGGCUCACCAAGGCGACGAUCUGUAGCGGGUCUGAGAGGACGAUCCGCCACACUGGGACUGAGACACGGCCCAGACUCCUACGGGAGGCAGCAGUGGGGAGUUUUGGACAAUGGGGGCAACCCUGAUCCAGCCAUGCCGCGUGAGUGAAGAAGGCCUUCGGGUUGUAAAGCUCUUUCGGCCGGGAAGAAAUCGCACAGGCUAAUACUCUGUGUGGAUGACGGUACCGGCAUAAGAAGCACCGGCUAUCUACGUGCCAGCCGCCGCCGUAA
RNAcentral lists this ribosomal RNA (504 nucleotides) under uncultured bacterium. RNAcentral's name for it is "partial 16S ribosomal RNA". It matches the Rfam family "Bacterial small subunit ribosomal RNA", at positions 30 to 523 of the family's 1533-position model. The record is from RNAcentral.